GGUUCAGAGAAAGUUCACAUUUCUGUAUUUCAUCGAGUUGUGCAAGAAUCAAGAUCAUGUAGUGUUAUACGCGUAUAUGUAGAGCUGGUGACUUUAAACAGGGUAGAGUAAGUAGUAUACGUGGCGCGCGUACUUCUCCAGUCGUUUGGUACUAGCAAGGAGAUAACUUUGAACAGCAUCAUGCCUCAGCGUGGCAGCCCAGAGACACUGAAGCACCUGAGUAUAGUCAGCAUGGCGACUCACAUGGACUCUGUAUGGGCUGCUGACUACAUCCACAACUACCUGGACCAGUAUCACUUCAUGUACAUCAUCGGCCCUUUUGAUGCUCUUCCCUCCCAUUUGAUCCAAGAGCUGAUAGAGUUUUUGGUGCAGAAAAGACAGCUGGGCCGGAGACACCUGCACCUGAUGAUCCACCAGCACCUGGAAAGUCUGCACCUGGGCAAAUGUAGCAGCUGCAUGACAGAUGCCGUCAUCAAGCUGGUGCAAAUUAGAUGCAAGGUACAUAGUAGGAAGCAUAUUCUUUUUGCAGAA
This is a long non-coding RNA of Branchiostoma belcheri (Belcher's lancelet), 531 nucleotides long. RefSeq lists it as uncharacterized. The record is from RefSeq and is a predicted model, not a curated record. The transcript is spliced from 3 exons. NCBI's taxonomy places the organism in Eukaryota, Metazoa, Chordata, Leptocardii, Amphioxiformes, Branchiostomatidae.